UUUGAUGGGGUCGACCGGCGCACGGGUGAGUAACGCGUAUCCAACCUGCCCACCACUUGGGGAUAACCUUUGCGAAAGUAAGACUAAUACCCAAUGAUAUCUCUAGAAGACAUCUGAAAGAGAUUAAAGAUUUAUCGGUGAUGGAUGGGGAUGCGUCUGAUUAGCUUGUUGGCGGGGUAACGGCCCACCAAGGCGACGAUCAGUAGGGGUUCUGAGAGGAAGGUCCCCCACAUUGGAACUGAGACACGGUCCAAACUCCUACGGGAGGCAGCAGUGAGGAAUAUUGGUCAAUGGGCGAGAGUCUGAACCAGCCAAGUAGCGUGCAGGAUGACGGCCCUAUGGGUUGUAAACUGCUUUUAUAAGGGAAUAAAGUGAGUCUCGUGAGACUUUUUGCAUGUACCUUAUGAAUAAGGACCGGCUAAUUCCGUGCCAGCAGCCGCGGUAAUACGGAAGGUCCGGGCGUUAUCCGGAUUUAUUGGGUUUAAAGGGAGCGUAGGCCGGAGAUUAAGCGUGUUGUGAAAUGUAGACGCUCAACGUCUGCACUGCAGCGCGAACUGGUUUCCUUGAGUACGCACAAAGUGGGCGGAAUUCGUGGUGUAGCGGUGAAAUGCUUAGAUAUCACGAAGAACUCCGAUUGCGAAGGCAGCUCACUGGAGCGCAACUGACGCUGAAGCUCGAAAGUGCGGGUAUCGAACAGGAUUAGAUACCCUGGUAGUCCGCACGGUAAACGAUGGAUGCCCGCUGUUGGUCUGAACAGGUCAGCGGCCAAGCGAAAGCAUUAAGCAUCCCACCUGGGGAGUAC
RNAcentral lists this ribosomal RNA (802 nucleotides) under uncultured bacterium. RNAcentral's name for it is "bacterial SSU rRNA". It matches the Rfam family "Bacterial small subunit ribosomal RNA", at positions 81 to 883 of the family's 1533-position model. The record is from RNAcentral.